CCAAGGUACUACUGAAUAGCAGGUGGGUGUUAAAUAACAUUAUCAAAUAGGAAAAGUAUGGCUCACCACUGAAUAAUUUUCAUGUUAUCUUUAUCCCUUCUGUGCAUAAAGCAAUUAUGUUUCACCUCCUAAUCUUUUAAUUUCAGUCCUCCCACCCUCUUUUGAAUAGCAUAUAGGUCAGGAGCAUUCUUUUGUUGGCAUCCACUGAAUAAUUCCUCUCCCUAACCUAGAUUCCCGAAGACUAAAGGAACGUAGCAGUAAUGUGGGUAAUCAAACUUGGGGCUUUCCCUAUUUUUUAUUCUUCAGAAUCUCGUUGCUUUGUGAAGAGUAGGUGUUGAAUACAUGCUUUUCAGUUGACUCAGGUAUGACGAUCUUUGUCAUUUAUUUAUUGCAUGUGGGCCCCUUGUUCUUUGGCC
RNAcentral lists this long non-coding RNA (416 nucleotides) under Bos taurus (domestic cattle). RNAcentral's name for it is "long non-coding RNA NONBTAT011785". The record is from RNAcentral. Lineage: Eukaryota; Metazoa; Chordata; Mammalia; Artiodactyla; Bovidae.